Molecule: ribosomal RNA, 574 nt
Filed under: uncultured bacterium
Lineage: Bacteria
Description: partial 16S ribosomal RNA
Rfam family: Bacterial small subunit ribosomal RNA
Source: RNAcentral
UGAGGAAUAUUGGUCAAUGGGCGAGAGCCUGAACCAGCCAAAUCGCGUGAAGGAAGACUGCCUUAUGGGUUGUAAACUUCUUUUAUACAGGAAUAAAAAAGGGGACGUGUCCCUUAUUGCAUGUACUGUAUGAAUAAGCAUCGGCUAACUCCGUGCCAGCAGCCGCGGUAAUACGGAGGAUGCGAGCGUUAUCCGGAUUUAUUGGGUUUAAAGGGUGCGCAGGCGGGCUUUUAAGUCAGCGGUGAAAUCUCGGGGCUUAACUCCGAAACUGCCGUUGAAACUGGGAGUCUUGAGUAUGGAUGAAGUAGGCGGAAUUCGUUGUGUAGCGGUGACAUGCUUAGAUAUAACGAGGAACUCCGAUUGCGUAGGCAGCUUACUAAGCCAUAACUGACGCUCAAGCACGAAAGCGUGGGGAUCAAAACAGGAUUAGAUACCCCUGGUAGUCCACGCCGUAAACGAUGAUUACUAGUUGUAUGCGAUAUACCGUAUGUGACUAAGCGAAAGCGAUAAGUAAUCCACCUGGGGAGUACGCCGGCAACGGUGAAACUUAAAUGAAUUGACGGGGUCAUAGCUG